This 253-nucleotide ribosomal RNA is filed under the name uncultured bacterium. Its description in RNAcentral is "partial 16S ribosomal RNA". It matches the Rfam family "Bacterial small subunit ribosomal RNA", at positions 524 to 776 of the family's 1533-position model. The record is from RNAcentral.
UACAGAGGGGGCAAGCGUUGUUCGGAAUUACUGGGCGUAAAGGGCGCGUAGGCGGCCCGCUAAGUCGAACGUGAAAUCCCUGGGCUCAACCCAGGAACUGCGUCCGAUACUGGCAGGCUUGAAUCCGGGAGAGGGAUGUGGAAUUCCAGGUGUAGCGGUGAAAUGCGUAGAUAUCAGGAAGAACACCCGUGGCGAAAGCGGCUCUCUGGAACGGUACUGACGCUGAGACGCGAAAGCGUGGGGAGCGAACAGG